CCUCGCUCGGCGCCCGCGAGUCUGUCGGGCUGGAGUGGUAGCCAUAAUCCCGGGGUCACUGGGGAGGGGGUGACCCCUUUUGGGUUCCGGAGGUCAGACUCCAGGCCAUCGUGGGUCACCUGGAGGGGCUGCAUUCAGUUGUGAUAACCAGGGCGUAUUCGGCCGUCUGGUAGUUGGUCACUUGGUAGGUCUGCGCCCAGAGGAGGGCGGUGGCCCCGUACUAAAAUCGAUGUCAGCGGCACCAUCGCCCCUUCUAUAGUCGGCAUCUAUGGAGGAGACCCCAGGCAAGGAGAAACGCCGAGAACCGGAUUGGAGUGCGUUUCAGGGGCGCGCGGAAACGCCCCGGGGAGAGCCGGGAGGCAGCGGCGACGGCGCAGCCUGGGACGGCCAGGAGCGCGGGGCGGGGAGCGGCCGGUGGCCGUGGGCGUCUCACCAAAGCGGCCCUGGAGGGGCCCCCGGCUCCCAGCCAAGCCCACGUGAAGCAGCAUCAGGGCAGUUGCAGCUGUAGAGGAACCGCGCGUCGUGAAAGCCUUGACUUACUCUCCAUUUCUGACGUUUUGGUUUUAAUUUGCACGGAGUAAACGAAGUAGCCGUCGGUUCCGGCCGCGGACCCGAAGCGCGCGCAGGCUCGGGACCCGCACUCGGGACUCCUGGCGGCACGGGUCCUGGAGGCACGAGAGACCGUAAGGGCAAAGGUCGGGAACGUGUGCUCCCCGCGUGUCCCCAGGCUACCUUCGCAGGUGUGGACAUCUCUCUGCGCUACUUUGGUGCCUUAACUCUGCUUGGUCUCCACUCGGAAGCUUUUUAUUUUUGUUUUAGAAACGAAAAGACUUUAGAGGCCAGCGCCCGUCCUCUCCCGUAGGCCGCAUCUCCAGCCCCCGCGCCCCAGGGUUGCACGGGGGGCUUGCGCGGUGGGUCUUUUUGGCGGAGAACCGCCCCGCGAGGCUCAGCUUCUCCUGCCGAGUCGCCCCUGGAACGCCCAGACCCGUGUCCGGCCCCCGAUUUUAUUUCUACUUCGGAGUCGUUUUCUUACCCAGGACUCACUCAAGAGCCCGCGCGGGAAGGACCGCCCUUUAUGAAAAGCCAGGGACUUCCAUUUCCAAACGAAAGGUCGGCGCUCUCCUGCACCCGCUGUGGUCGAGGCCCACCCGGGGUCCCGGGAACGAAGGCUGCGGAGACCCGGCCGGCCCCUUCUUUCACCCACUUUACCACCCCAUCAGCCCUGAGACGUGCGGCGCAGAGGGUCGGUCUGCAUCACUGAUUGGCAGAGCUGGACUUUCAACUCCUCAUUCUACAGAGACGGAAACUGAGGCACAGACGGGAGAAAAAGUAGCUGUGGAGCGCAGGGGUUAAGAGCAAGGACUGGUGGCCAGAGAAUGGAAUCCGUUCCACCGGGUGACCAGCAGCUGUGUGACCCUAGACGAGUUCCGUAGCCUCUCCAAACCUGUUUCCCUUUUGGUCAAACGGAAUAAUGGGAAAUGAGCUCAUGAGGUCUCGGGGAUUGGGCAGGAGGCUAGUGUUGGCCUAUGCGCUCAACAGACGUUACCACUUUUGUUUCUAUUGUUGUUCAAACACAGGUAGCAAGUUAGUGGCAAAGCCGAGCCGAAACCCAGGUCCCUCGACAUCCAGCUCGGGCUUUACCACCAUCCCAAGGCCCUAAAGGCUAAAGGAAUGAGGGGGAAAGGAAAAAGGAGGGCGAGCGGGACUCUGGGAGCCCGGGUGGCUUUGGAACGUCGGUAAAGCUCAUCCUGGCCUAACGGUGCUUAAUUAUUACAGGAUCAAAAUAUCGCGCCUGAGUGGGAGCGGGCAGUGGGGACCUCUGAACCCCCGCUUGACCCCGGCGCUGUCAACUGCCCCUGCCCGAGCGCGGCG
RNAcentral lists this long non-coding RNA (1872 nucleotides) under Equus caballus (horse). RNAcentral's name for it is "lncRNA (ENSECAG00000048131.1)". The stretch from base 287 to 524 matches the Rfam family "WT1 antisense RNA conserved region 3". Lineage: Eukaryota; Metazoa; Chordata; Mammalia; Perissodactyla; Equidae. The record is from RNAcentral.